Molecule: ribosomal RNA, 448 nt
Filed under: Isoxya mahafalensis
Lineage: Eukaryota; Metazoa; Arthropoda; Arachnida; Araneae; Araneidae
Description: partial 16S large subunit ribosomal RNA
Rfam family: Bacterial large subunit ribosomal RNA
Source: RNAcentral
UUCUUAAUGAAAUAAUUUUAAGUAAUGCCUGCUCAAUGAAUAUUAAAUAGCCGCAGAAAUUUAACUGUGCUAAGGUAGCAUAAUCAUUAACCCUUUAAUUAAGGGCUAGUAUGAAUGGUAAUACAAUUUAUUUUCUAUAAUUUUUAAUUAUUUUUAACUUUAAUUAAGAAUAAAAAUGUUCUUAUUAUUAAAAUAGACGAUAAGACCCUAUUGAAUUUUACUUUUGUUUAGCUGGGGCAGCUAAAAAAAAAUAAUCUUUUUUUAUUUUAUUAAAUAAAUAGACCCAAUAUAAUUGAGUAAAUGAAAAAAUUACCAUAGGGAUAACAGUGUAAUAUCUUUCUAAAGCUCUUAUUUAAAAAGAAGAUUGCAACCUCGAUGUUGAAUUAAUGUUCCUUUGUAAACGCAGUAGUUUACAAAGUAGGUCUGUUCGACCUUUAAAACAUUACAU